AAGAGUCAACUGCGGUUAAACGAUCGCUCUGAGCCUCAGGAGACAGCUUUUGGGAGUAAGUAGAGUGUGCAGAAUGAUAGUUAACUGCAGUCACCAUAAGUGCAUCGAUCAUAGCUCGUAAAGAUGAGACGUCCGCCCCUACAUUGUCAAGGGUAGUAAUCAACUUGCCAAGAUCAUCUUUGAAUGAAGGAAGCCUUUCCAAUGAAGCCUUCAAGAUUAUGCUUUUUACUUGGUUUCCUAAAACGGAAAUUACUUUGCGAAGGGUUUUGUCUGCAACACCUAAUUUGGGUUGCCCACAUGACAUUUCAGAAGUUGAUGCGUGAUUAGCCGGCUAUAAUAAAUGUUGCCGUGCAAACGAACCUACAUUGACCGAUGAGUAAUGAUCAAGCAAGUAGAAUCAAAGAUUUAUAAAUACGAAGCGUGAUAAAGAUUGGAAUCGUACCUCUUAGGCUAACACCUGAACCACUUAUCGGGCACAAAGCAUCAUUUUCCUCUUCGAUAGGAAAAUGAUUAAAUGGUACAAGCUAGGACACAGUAGAGACAUGAUGCACUACUUCUCCCUAAAAUGUAUAUAUAAUUAAUUAAUUAAUAUAUAUAUGUAUAUAAAAAAAAGGGAGGCUCAAUGUGAAAUAAAAUACACACCUCGUUCAUUAGAACCGGUUGUGAAACAGCGGGCACAUCACAAAAGAAUGUGUCAUCAAGUGGGUAUGCCAUGGCCAAAUCACAAUAAAGAGGUUCGACGCUUGUCUUCUUAUGCCUAAAGUUGACUUCACUGUCUUCAUUGCUGCUUAUAUGCCCUCGUUUCAAAUUGCGAAUUCGUUGACCAAGGGGAAUGAAAUCUUCCUAGGAAUUUGCUACACUUUCUGUUUCUCCUUUAUCAUUAGGGACUCGAGUUGAAAGAACAUGAACCGGAGAUGAGUGUUGAACUCGAGGCACAUGAGUAGUAGAACUACUUUCAACUUCUGGAUGAACUUGGAGCGCUUUACCACGGGUGAGUUUAUCAUGAACGAAAACUUCAUUGCCUUAUGACUUAAGAGAUUUUGGCUGAGAAAGCGAC
This 1057-nucleotide long non-coding RNA is filed under the name Prunus persica (peach). RNAcentral describes it as "long non-coding RNA (PPER_LNC004509)". The record is from RNAcentral. Lineage: Eukaryota; Viridiplantae; Streptophyta; Magnoliopsida; Rosales; Rosaceae.